Ribosomal RNA from Gossypium raimondii (Peruvian cotton), 155 nucleotides. It matches the Rfam family "Bacterial large subunit ribosomal RNA", at positions 2658 to 2812 of the family's 2925-position model. NCBI's taxonomy places the organism in Eukaryota, Viridiplantae, Streptophyta, Magnoliopsida, Malvales, Malvaceae. The record is from Rfam.
AACAUUGAAAGGACAUUUCCCUAAUACAAGAGGAUCGGGAAGGACAUACUACUGGUGUACCAGUAUCGUGCCCACGAUAAACAUUAAGUAGCCAAGUGCGGAGCAGAUAACUGCUGAAAGCAUCUAAGUAGUAAGCCCACUCCAAGAUGAGUGCU